This 819-nucleotide ribosomal RNA is filed under the name Salmonella enterica. RNAcentral describes it as "partial 23S ribosomal RNA". It matches the Rfam family "Bacterial large subunit ribosomal RNA", at positions 1984 to 2802 of the family's 2925-position model. The record is from RNAcentral. Lineage: Bacteria; Pseudomonadati; Pseudomonadota; Gammaproteobacteria; Enterobacterales; Enterobacteriaceae.
CGACCUGCACGAAUGGCGUAAUGAUGGCCAGGCUGUCUCCACCCGAGACUCAGUGAAAUUGAACUCGCUGUGAAGAUGCAGUGUACCCGCGGCAAGACGGAAAGACCCCGUGAACCUUUACUAUAGCUUGACACUGAACAUUGAGCCUUGAUGUGUAGGAUAGGUGGGAGGCUUUGAAGCGUGGACGCCAGUCUGCGUGGAGCCGACCUUGAAAUACCACCCUUUAAUGUUUGAUGUUCUAACGUGGACCCGUAAUCCGGGUUGCGGACAGUGUCUGGUGGGUAGUUUGACUGGGGCGGUCUCCUCCUAAAGAGUAACGGAGGAGCACGAAGGUUGGCUAAUCCUGGUCGGACAUCAGGAGGUUAGUGCAAUGGCAUAAGCCAGCUUGACUGCGAGCGUGACGGCGCGAGCAGGUGCGAAAGCAGGUCAUAGUGAUCCGGUGGUUCUGAAUGGAAGGGCCAUCGCUCAACGGAUAAAAGGUACUCCGGGGAUAACAGGCUGAUACCGCCCAAGAGUUCAUAUCGACGGCGGUGUUUGGCACCUCGAUGUCGGCUCAUCACAUCCUGGGGCUGAAGUAGGUCCCAAGGGUAUGGCUGUUCGCCAUUUAAAGUGGUACGCGAGCUGGGUUUAGAACGUCGUGAGACAGUUCGGUCCCUAUCUGCCGUGGGCGCUGGAGAACUGAGGGGGGCUGCUCCUAGUACGAGAGGACCGGAGUGGACGCAUCACUGGUGUUCGGGUUGUCAUGCCAAUGGCACUGCCCGGUAGCUAAAUGCGGAAGAGAUAAGUGCUGAAAGCAUCUAAGCACGAAACUUGCCCCGA